UAGCGUAUAUUAAAGUUGUUGCAGUUAAAAAGCUCGUAGUUGAAUUUCGGGGUUAGUAGGUUGGUCAUGCCUCUGGUAUGUACUGGUCUCACUGAUUCCUCCUUCCUGAUGAGCCGUAAUGCCAUUAAUUUGGUGUUGCGGGGAAUUUGGACUGUUACUUUGAAAAAAUUAGAGUGUUUAAAGCAGGC
RNAcentral lists this ribosomal RNA (188 nucleotides) under uncultured Rhizophagus. RNAcentral's name for it is "partial 18S ribosomal RNA". It matches the Rfam family "Eukaryotic small subunit ribosomal RNA", at positions 595 to 785 of the family's 1831-position model. The record is from RNAcentral. Lineage: Eukaryota; Fungi; Glomeromycota; Glomeromycetes; Glomerales; Glomeraceae.